GAUGAACGCUGGCGGCGUGCCUAAUACAUGCAAGUCGAGCGAACAGACGAGGAGCUUGCUCCUCUGACGUUAGCGGCGGACGGGUGAGUAACACGUGGAUAACCUACCUAUAAGACUGGGAUAACUUCGGGAAACCGGAGCUAAUACCGGAUAAUAUAUUGAACCGCAUGGUUCAAUAGUGAAAGACGGUUUUGCUGUCACUUAUAGAUGGAUCCGCGCCGCAUUAGCUAGUUGGUAAGGUAACGGCUUACCAAGGCAACGAUGCGUAGCCGACCGGAGAGGGUGAUCGGCAACACUGGAACUGAAACACGGUCCAGACUCCUACGGGAGGCAGCAGUAGGGAAUCUUACGCAAUGGGCGAAAGCCUGACGGAGCAACGCCGCGUGAGUGAUGAAGGUCUUCGGAUCGUAAAACUCUGUUAUUAGGGAAGAACAAAUGUGGAAGUAACUAUGCACGUCUUGACGGUACCUAAUCAGAAAGCCACGGCUAACUACGUG
RNAcentral lists this ribosomal RNA (497 nucleotides) under uncultured bacterium. RNAcentral describes it as "partial 16S ribosomal RNA". It matches the Rfam family "Bacterial small subunit ribosomal RNA", at positions 28 to 507 of the family's 1533-position model. The record is from RNAcentral.